CCAGUCACUGUUGGAGGCACAUAGCCACGACAAAAUCUCAUGCUGUACAUUGAUCACCUGUCCAACCUUUGCCUAGAGUGUGAUCCCCUGUUCCUUCAAGAGAGCCAUCUUUACCUGUCUAAAAAGAAGAGGAGGAGAAUCAAGUAACAGUUUACCUCCAGAGCAGUUAACAGAGGGGCUGGAUAAAGAAAAAGAAGAAAAAAAAAGGCAGCACUGCAGAAAUAUUCUGACAAUCUAUUGCAGUGGAUCUCACAUCACUCCCCACAACAGCCCGAAGUGGCUCACAGAAGAUGAGUUCAUAUUUAUUUUAUCAGAUGAAAUGCCGCACACCUUGAUGUUUUCACCAUAAUUACACAUCAACUGCCAUGAAGUUGAAUACAUGGAAGGCAGAGGAGUGGAGGUUGAAACCUACAAAUCCUCCAUUUUCAUCUUCAACAAGUUUUGUGCGUUUGGAUUUUGGCAAUCUGACCACCCGUUCCAAAUGUUAUUAUUUAAUAAAGUUUAGUUCUAAGCCUUAUUGUGAAAUACUUUUUUUGAUAAAUUAACACCGAGUUGAUUGUAAUGUGUAUGAAUUUCAAUUUCAAAGCAGUAUCUUCAUUGCCACUGAUUCUGCAAAUUUUAAUCCAAGGUGUCAUUUCUAAGGUACUAGAUUACUGAAAAGGUAGAAAUAAAUUGGCAAUUAGUGUUAUCAGCACAAUUUUCCUUCCCAGUUAUGUGAGAAAACAAAUGAAUAUAUGAGAUUUUUCUCUCCUCUGUUUCUUUUUGGCUGCAAUUAAAAUAAUCGCAUUUUGAUAGUAUAACCAGUAGUAUCUCUGGGCAAGGUUGGAAUUGAAAUCAAUUUUUGGAACCAAUAAGGUUGUGAAAACAUGGUGUGUGUGUGUCUGACAAUGCAUGAGGCAUCUAAAUUGAUCAUACAUAAUUUAAUGUACAAUGUUUAUAUAUUCAUGGAUGGUAAAAAGCUUAAGGUCCCUACACAUAUAUAUGUGAUGUGUUUACAUACUUGCUUAUAUCUGUAUUUGAACCUCAGACUUUUACCUUCCAGUCUCAUACAUGUGUUUCAUAUAAAAACUGGGACUCGAAUAUUUCACAAUAGGAAUUAUGUGAAAACAGUAUAUGCAUUAGAUUUCAGGAAAAUAAAGUAUUAUUUGCUGUUAUUUUGGGGUUUAAAAAACAUAGUCUCCAACAUAGAUCCAAAUGAAUUUUUGAUGUUAAGCGAAUAAGAUCAUCCAAGGAUGAAGAGCAAUCAAAAGCUGUGCGUGUGUGUAUAUAUUUCUACAAAUGAUGUACAUGAAGUGAAGAGUCAACAUUUUACCACAUGCCCAGGAUAAGAAACAGCAUUUUGAGUUCUUUACAUAUGGUGAUAUGGUACAAGUGAGAGUUAAGUCUAUUACUUCCUCUACAAAAGUAUACUUACAAUUUCAUUCAGCUCCUGAUUGAGUUUGGCAAACAUGUGCAAAUAUUCAGCUGUUAUAGUGAUGCAUUUUAAUUGUCAAUGGAAGAAAUACUUCCAUGUAAACAUGAGUGGGAGUGGAAUAUCUGUGUUUUUAAAGGACAAACAGUGAAUUUAAGCAUGAGUGGCCUUAAUAAUUCAAGUUAUUUUUCUUUGCUGCUGUGGAAAAGAAUUAUCAACUGAUACUCCUGAAUUCUUGCACUGAAUUAACUCAACAGUUACUUUUGAAAUUGCUGGUGAAGUUAACUCCAGACAUCCUUUGUGAGCCAUAGAGAUAAUUAAAAAAUAAAAUCUAGAAAAAUGAUUGUUUAGAAAGAGGAAACAGAUUUUAAUUGCACCAUUGCUUUUGGUGCACUAACAGUAACUCAUUCAAGAAAGUUUCCUGCCUCUGGUUAUGUUAUUGUUUUCAUUAAGUAUAGUGAAAUGUGUAGGCCUAUAAGUGUAACAUAAGUAAUCCAAAUACAUUCAUGUUUAAAAGUUUGUCCUUUAAUGAUCAAAGACAUUUUAGAUCCUUGUUUUGAAGAUAGCAAAGUUCUUGAGAGUUAAUUUAGCACAUAUGACAAAUGUUGCACUUGCAAAACAUAGACAACAAACUGGUGUCCUGUGAAAAUUUUGUUGUCCUCGUAAGGGAUAAUACUUUGGGUCUUUUACAAUCAGGUCUUUACCUUAACUCUGCAACUGAAUACUUGAAGUAGGAAUUAAACUAGCAAAAAUUAGGGUCAACAAACUGUAUAGUUAGGAAUAUUUAUAUGUAUGUGCCAAUUUUGUCAUAGGUAUUGUUUUAGGAGCAUUUUUGCUCCGUUCAUGUUGCUAAGAGUAUUAUUGAUCAAACUUUAUCAGGGCAUAUAAUUUAGUCCCUACAAAAAGUCAAAUUUUGUCAAAAAUAACUUUUUUUCCAUUUCAUGUAUUAGUCUACAAUGUUUGAGGAAAAUCUUUUCGUACAUUAAAAAUACAAUCUCUGGGUUUACAACAAACACUGUGAUGUUGGGAAAAUACUUUAUUUGAGUAAUGUUCAAACAUUACAUGCCCUCCAACCUCUCCCAAAGUUUAUCAAAGUGAAAUGAUGUUUGGGCUAACAUUUACAAUGAAUGACUCUAAUUUUAUGUGGAAUCAGGCCUGUACUUCAUAUCCUUUCUUUAAUUUCAAUGUACAACAUCAAUUUUGUAUUUAAAUUUUGUGUAUCUAGUAUGCAUGUAACUGCACAUUGACCUUCAUUUGAGUGGUUUCAAUUUAUUUUUUAAAUAGUGUUUCUUAUGAGACCUCAAAUGUGUUGACAUAAACUAUAUCUGCAGUGUUUUUGUGUAGAAUGAUGUUUGAACGUGAUGUACUGCAACAGUGGGCCCGUAAUCCUAUUUCCCUGAGACCUUCAUUUGAUAGUGCUUCUUGUAAUAAUUUCUUCAAGUGAGUGGCAUGUGGACUGUGAUUAAUGAUAUGUGGUUAAGGACAUUGAUAUGAAAAUAACUAAGGAAUUCUCUGAAAUUACCAGUGGGCAUGUAUUAGACCGUCAUUGUAAUUUACUGUCUAGUUAUGUAGUUUAAAGUACAAAGUUAUGUAGAAUUCAUAACAUUGUUAUCAUGUGUAUGAGAAGUACUUACUGUUGAUCAGCUUGUUUAUAUUCAUCAAAUAAACUUUUUCUUUCUUUCUGA
This is a long non-coding RNA of Ornithorhynchus anatinus (platypus), 3096 nucleotides long. RefSeq lists it as uncharacterized. Lineage: Eukaryota; Metazoa; Chordata; Mammalia; Monotremata; Ornithorhynchidae. The transcript has 2 exons. The record is from RefSeq and is a predicted model, not a curated record.